AUCGCUCACCAGCAGUCUUCGUACGUUCACCAGCAGUCGUUUUGGACGCGGAGCGAGGAGUAGGUCGUGCGCGAUGCCAUGGGAGAGACUUGUGGCGCUCUGGAGAGGCAGGGGGUGUCUGUGCCGUCGGUUCAUUGGGGAU
Molecule: non-coding RNA, 142 nt
Filed under: Cryptomonas paramaecium
Lineage: Eukaryota; Cryptophyceae; Cryptomonadales; Cryptomonadaceae
Source: RNAcentral